GAUCAGUGGCUACAGAACGAACGCUGGCGGCAGGCCUAACACAUGCAAGUCGAGCGAACCCUUCGGGGUUAGCGGCGGUCGGGUUAGUAACGCGUGGGAAUAUACCCUUUGGUACGGAAUAGCCUCGGGAAACUGAGAGUAAUACCGUAUGUGCCCUUCGGGGGAAAGAUUUAUCGCCAAAGGAUUAGCCCGCGUUGGAUUAGAUAGUUGGUGGGGUAAUGGCCUACCAAGUCUACGAUCCAUAGCUGGUUUGAGAGGAUGAUCAGCAACACUGGGACUGAGACACGGCCCAGACUCCUACGGGAGGCAGCAGUGGGGAAUCUUAGACAAUGGGCGCAAGCCUGAUCUAGCCAUGCCGCGUGGACGAUGAAGGCCUUAGGGUUGUAAAGUCCUUUCAGAUGGGAAGAUAAUGACGGUACCAUCAGAAGAAGCCCCGGCUAACUCCGUG
RNAcentral lists this ribosomal RNA (448 nucleotides) under uncultured bacterium. RNAcentral describes it as "bacterial SSU rRNA". It matches the Rfam family "Bacterial small subunit ribosomal RNA", at positions 1 to 507 of the family's 1533-position model. The record is from RNAcentral.